This 649-nucleotide long non-coding RNA is filed under the name Scleropages formosus (Asian bonytongue). Its description in RNAcentral is "lncRNA (ENSSFOG00015025722.1)". The record is from RNAcentral. Lineage: Eukaryota; Metazoa; Chordata; Actinopteri; Osteoglossiformes; Osteoglossidae.
CGCGCUCGGUCAAGCGGUUACUGUGUGGGGCGGCAGGGGGCGGUACUGCUCAGAAACAUAGAGGAAUGGCUCGUGCGCGAACGCUUCAUUGCAGAUUGAGUGUGUCAGUGACUCUCAGGAGACAUGUGUGUCAGGAAGGCUCCAGAACCUCUCAUCCCCACCCUUGGAUGGUGUCCCUCAUAGAACCUUCACAUUGCGGCGCAGUGCAAGGCUAAGCAAGCAAACGACUUCAGGAGAAGUGUCUGAUAUAGUUCUCUGUAAUGUAGGGAAAAUGUCUGCUUUAGCUCCAGACCCACACCUGCAAUGCCGGGUUUCCCAGUCUUCUACACAGUCCAUUGGGUGCCAUGAAAUUUCACGGUAUUCAUCUGCAGUCAGCACAGCAGAUACUUACAGAGGAACAAAGAGGUCACUACUAACCAAGAUAAGGCAGGAUCUCUCCCUAAGCAUGAUUCACAAAAGGAACAAGUUUGGAGAAACCCUCCUGCAUCUAGCAGUGAUGGAUGGGGAUGAAAAGCUUGUGAAAGAUAUGCUACAGAUUGGGGCCAGUGCAAACAUACCUGAUAAUGCAGGUAAAGAACAGCUGACAUUAUUUAUAAGAUGGUGUUUCUGGUCAAAGACGGUAUUGUCUGCGAUUAUUAAUUCUAUCUGA